Molecule: ribosomal RNA, 843 nt
Filed under: uncultured Flavobacterium sp.
Lineage: Bacteria; Pseudomonadati; Bacteroidota; Flavobacteriia; Flavobacteriales; Flavobacteriaceae
Description: bacterial SSU rRNA
Rfam family: Bacterial small subunit ribosomal RNA
Source: RNAcentral
AGGCCUAACACAUGCAAGUCGAGGGGUAGUUACUUUCGGGUAAUGAGACCGGCGCACGGGUGCGUAACGCGUAUGCAAUCUACCUUUUACAGGGGAAUAGCCCAGAGAAAUUUGGAUUAAUGCCCCAUAGUAUAUAAACUUCGCAUGUUGUUUAUAUUAAAGUUCCAACGGUAAAAGAUGAGCAUGCGUCCCAUUAGUUAGUUGGUAAGGUACCGGCUUACCAAGACGAUGAUGGGUAGGGGUCCUGAGAGGGAGAUCCCCCACACUGGUACUGAGACACGGACCAGACUCCUACGGGAGGCAGCAGUGAGGAAUAUUGGACAAUGGGCGCAAGCCUGAUCCAGCCAUGCCGCGUGCAGGAAGAAGCAUCUAUGGUGUGUAAACUGCUUUUGUACAGGAAGAAACACUCCCUCGUGAGGGAGCUUGACGGUACUGUAAGAAUAAGGAUCGGCUAACUCCGUGCCAGCAGCCGCGGUAAUACGGAGGAUCCAAGCGUUAUCCGGAAUCAUUGGGUUUAAAGGGUCCGUAGGCGGUUUGAUAAGUCAGUGGUGAAAGCCCAUCGCUCAACGAUGGAACGGCCAUUGAUACUGUCAGACUUGAAUUACAAGGAAGUAACUAGAAUAUGUAGUGUAGCGGUGAAAUGCUUAGAUAUUACAUGGAAUACCAAUUGCGAAGGCAGGUUACUACUUGUGGAUUGACGCUGAUGGACGAAAGCGUGGGGAGCGAACAGGAUUAGAUACCCUGGUAGUCCACGCCGUAAACGAUGGAUACUAGCUGUUGGGAGCAAUCUCAGUGGCUAAGCGAAAGUGAUAAGUAUCCCACCUGGGGAGUACGUUCGCAAGA